Molecule: RNA transcript, 3901 nt
Organism: Setaria italica (foxtail millet)
Lineage: Eukaryota; Viridiplantae; Streptophyta; Magnoliopsida; Poales; Poaceae
Gene name: polyadenylation and cleavage factor homolog 4
Exons: 8
Source: RefSeq, a predicted model, not a curated record
AGAAUCGCGGAAACGCGAUCCUCGCCGUAAAUCGCCGACCCCGUCUUCCUCCCCGCUUCCGCUCCCACCCCCUACCACCACAUGCCUCGGCCUCCCUCUCGCCGUCGCCGCCACCCCAAACCCUAGCCACCCCCCACCCCCCACAACCCGAGACCCCUAGAUCCUGCCCCCGCCCGAUGGCGGGCGCCCCCGCGGCGGGCCAGGUCGUGGAGCGGUUCCGCGCGCGGCUGCGCGAGGAGGCGGGCGGCGCCGGGGGCGAGCCGGGCGCCGCCGCGGUGGUGCGCGUGUACGCGGAGGCGCUCCGGGAGCUCACCUUCAACUGCAAGCCGGUCAUCACCGAGCUCACCAUCAUCGCGGGGCAGCACGCCGCGCUCGCCGCCAGGGGCAUCGCCGACGCCGUCUGCGCCCGCGUCGCCGAGGUGCCACCUGACCAGAUAUUACCAUCUUUGUAUCUGCUAGAUAGUAUUGUGAAGAACAUAGGGCGCGAAUAUGUAGACCGUUUUGCCGCAAGGUUGCAGAAGGUAUUUGUUGAUGCAUACUGUAGAGUUCAUCCCAGCCAGUAUGCUUCAAUGCGGCGCCUCUUUCGUACCUGGUGGCCAGUGUUUCCUUCUUCUGUGCUUCGUGGCAUCGAGGACGACCUUCAAUUUUCUCCCUCACAGGAAAAGCGUCCUGCCAUAGCGACAAAUCCACAUCAAUCAGAGUCUCUAUCUCCUAGGCCCUCUCAUGGCAUACAUGUAAAUCCCAAGUAUCUGGAAGCACAACAAAAAUUGAAGCAGGCCAAUGUGAUGCAUCAGCCUGCCGUUCGUGGCACUAGGCAAAUGGCUGAUGUGGAGGAGGAUCUGAUAAAUGGAUUAACAUCGAACGGCUUGCGAGGACGUCCUUCAAUGUUUCAGAAAUCUACUGUGCAGUAUGCUGAUGAUCCUGAUCAACAAGAUACACUCCGAUCUCUUGCUGGAACAAUAAGGGCAACAUCACCACAUCUGUUGAGUGCACAUCCAUCUGAUGCCAUUCUAGAUGGGCCAUUAGACACUUCAAGGAGAAACCUGUCCAGGUCGCCACCUCUUGAUGUGUUCCCUAGGAAUGCGUCCCCCAAGAGAGUGCUAGAGAGGCUACCACCAUCUCGUUCUAUAUUGGGACCUGAUCCCAGAAGAUUGCCUGAUCGGAAUGGCAGGUCGAGAUGGACCUUCGACGAUGGUGCACGGCGGCCUACAAUCAGCAUGCUUGAUGAAGAGUACAGGAAGCAAAGUGCAAGAGAACUUAUUGACGCUUAUGGGAAUUCUCAAGGCCGAGAUGCUGAUGAAAGAGUUUCUAAAAUGCAGCGCCUGGAUUCAAAUGGGAUGGCUAGUGCACGAAAUUGGCUCACUUCAGAGGAAGAAGAGUAUUCUUGGGAGGACAUGAGUCCAACUUUGACUGAUCGAAUCAGAAGCAGCGUGCCAUCAUUUCCUCCUGGAACCAUGAGAGCUGGAUUUCCUGGGGCAAAAGCAGGGUUACUGGAAUCUGAUAUUGGGAGGCACAAUUUUCCAAGCCAAGCUCCUCGAUCAUCGGUUGAUGGCCCACCAUUAAAUCUUGAAGAUAGGAUUACUGCUGCAAGUCAUGCUAACAUGCCUACUAGUAGGAGACAUCCUAGCAAUUUUGGUGUUCAGAAUGGAGCUCUUUUGGAGUACCAGAGUUCUGAGCAUACCCUCAAUCAUGGGAGAACUGCUACCAUGCAAGCUCCACCUUGGCAGCAGCCUACUGGUCUGCCAUUACGAGUACAAGCACCUGAACAUCCAUCAGUACUUGAUAGAAUACCACUGCCUGCUGACGGUGAAAUGCCAGUCAAGAGACUAGAGAUCGGUGGUAUAUACAAUGCUUUGAGUGCAGAUAUACCUUUGGUGGAGAAGCACAGGCCGUUAACUGCUGCUGCCCCAAUAGAAUGGCCUCCUCUUCAUCAUACUCAGUCGCAAACUUUAGUACCAAUUCCACCUGAUACAAAACAUGUUAGAAAUGCAGCAGAUAGUCUAGAAAUUAGGCCAUUUGUUAGUCAAGGAGCCAGUUCAUCUGUAUUUGUUCCACGGCAUCAAUAUGAUGCCUUGGAUCGGAAAACACUAAGUACCGGUAGCUUAGCUCAACCACCAUAUCAGCACCAAGAUUUGUUGCCAUCAAGUCAACAGAAUCAAGGUGCAGUUUUGGGAAACCAAGCACAGCCUCAUCAUCCUCAACAGUUUCAUCCCCAUUCCCAUCCCCACCAUCAGGAGGCUUUUAGAGGCUUUGGCCCGGGCAUGUCUAUAUCCCCGUUCCCAGGACAAGGGGGUAGUGCAGCAUUGCCACCAGUUUCACUUCUGCCCAGCUCUUUUUCUGGUCCACCUGCUGUGCCACCAUAUGGCAUGCCGUCUGUGUCCAGUUUUCCUAGGCCACCACUACCUCCCGGACCGCCACCUGGUUCGCUGCAGAUUGGUUCAUCAUCAUCACAAGUUGGUGGCCCUCAACCAUUUGUGUCUGGACUAUUGAGUAACCUUAUGCGGCAAGGUGUAAUUACAUUGGGACCACAUAGCCAACCUCAGGACUCAAUUGGAGUUGACUUCAAUAUAGACCUCAAGGUACGGAAUGAUUCUGUCAUCAAUGCUUUGUAUCAGGAUCUUUCAAGACAGUGCAAAACUUGUGGCCUUCGGUUCAAAUGCCAAGAGGAGCAUCGUGCUCACAUGGACUGGCAUGUUACAAAAAACAGAAAUUCAAAGAACCGUAAGCAAUCUUCACGUAAAUAUUUUGUCACUGCGGAGGAAUGGUUAAGAGCAGCAGAAACAGUUGGAAACGAUGGGGUUCCCGCUUUUGUGCCCUCAGACCCAGUCCCAGACAGCAAGGAAGAGAAAGAAAUGGCUGUUCCUGCGGAUGAGGAGCAGACAGCUUGUGCAUUAUGUCAUGAACCAUUUGAAGAUUUCUACAGUGAUGAGACUGAAGAGUGGAUGUACAAAGGUGCAGUUUACAUGAAUGCACCAGAUGGUAAUAUUGAUGGUUUGGAAAGGUCACAGUUGGGACCUAUUGUCCAUGCUAAAUGUCGAUCUGGGCCCAGCAGUACUUCUUAGGAUGGGCAUAGCUGGUCCCCAGAUUCUUCGAGGCGAGAAAAUGUGCGUUGGAUGGGAAGCAGACAAGGGGACGCGGAUGAUGUAGAAAAGAAAUCCAAGGGCUUGGAUUCAUUAUCGGCGGGACAACAAAGUGGAGAAGCACCUGACGUUUGACUUAAUAGUUCUUUUUGGAUGCGGCUGUAGACAUGACCUGUAAACUACCGUGAGACUCAGAUUUUGGUAUGAUUACUUCUUUCCUAUCUGGCUCACUUGACAGCCAGUGCAUAGAAUGUUAACGCGACAAUAGUGUAAACUGUAAAAUCUUUCUGUAAUUCAGUGAUUGAGCAUCAGUAAUCUACCGUACAAUCACUAUUGUCAAAUUGUGCUUGUGCCCUAUCAUUUUGUCCUUCUGUAGUUGCAGAGUGCUUCAUAUCUAGGGUCAGGCAGCACAAUUGGUGACAGGCAUAUAUGUAACCAUUGUUUCACUAGACGUGAAAAACAAUAUCUUUGUAUUGUUCUGCUUUCUUUCCCCUUGUUAAUAUCUUAUGCAGGAUAAUAUCGAAGGUAGCUUACAAUUUACAAAACAUCGAAGGGAUCAUGCAAGAUGACCAAGAGUUGUGGCAUCUGUCUACGGCUGUCCUGAACGGCUGAAGGGACUAGAUGCUAUCAUUGCUUUUUUUAUUUUUCUUUUAGUAUUUUCUUUGUAAAUUGAGAACAUUGUAUAAAGUGUUGUGAAGAUUAUUCUUGGUCACUUGUAUACUUCCAUCUUGCUGGACAUGUUUGUGCUAGAUAAAAUCAGAUGAGAAUGUUUUUAGACCUUAUACUUUGUUUCGGAAGUUAUGCUCAGGCAAAUUGCUCUA